Long non-coding RNA from Pogoniulus pusillus (Red-fronted tinkerbird), 873 nucleotides. RefSeq lists it as uncharacterized. NCBI's taxonomy places the organism in Eukaryota, Metazoa, Chordata, Aves, Piciformes, Lybiidae. The transcript has 3 exons. The record is from RefSeq and is a predicted model, not a curated record.
CACAUUCCCAACAACCAUAGGCAGCCACUUGCCCUUGGAGUAUGUUCAUGAGGAAAUUUUUCUGCAGAGUGCAGCAAAACUUCCUGUACAGUUCAUGGAAGAGACAUCAUAAUAUGGCCCUCUGCAGUCAUCAUCAGGAGUGAAAAAGUGAAUACUCAAACUGACACUAAGGAGCUACAAAGCCUUUUACACUAGCUGUUUAAGUAAGCCUCACAGAUUCACCGUUGAUGCACUUCAUGCAGCAAAGCUGGAGGGAGCUGCUUGGGGGUAUCCAGAAAGUCAACAACAGGGCUGAAAACACUCAAGGAGCCCCUGGAGAUAAUUGCUGUUAUCCAUUUGACCACCAAACUGAAAGCCAAGACUAUGAUGAACUGUCAGCCAGCAUAAAGCAGAGCAAGGGCAGAUUUUACAGUUGCUGUGUGUGCCUGAUACCAGCUUCUCUGGAAACAUUCAAGGAUAUUUUUGGUUCAAGAUGAAGAAGUCACCAGAUAAAUUAUUAAACCAACUGAAUCCUACUUAUUUCAUGUAUAUGAGAACGGCACUAUUGAAACAGUAUUUUGCACUCAGGGCUGCCAGUAGUUAUUCACACAUAUUGUUCUACAUGUGCUGUUUCUUCCCUAAAGCCAUAUUAGUUUAGAUGUUCUCAACAUUAACCUGAUUUUACAUCUUUAUUUGCAGUCCCUUUUUUGCCCAGUAUUGAAUCAUAGAAUCGAUCAGGUUGGAAGAGACCUCCAAGAUCAUCCAGGUAUUGGUAAGAUGUGAGUUUUCUUCCUACAAUGAAGCUGCAGACCUGGAUUCUGACUCUUUGUCUAUGCUGUUGCACAAAAUAUGUCACUUUAUUGGUCUAAAAUAAAUGUUAAUAAAAGAGCUUCG